Long non-coding RNA from Mytilus californianus (California mussel), 361 nucleotides. RefSeq lists it as uncharacterized. NCBI's taxonomy places the organism in Eukaryota, Metazoa, Mollusca, Bivalvia, Mytilida, Mytilidae. The transcript has 3 exons. The record is from RefSeq and is a predicted model, not a curated record.
AAAAGAUGUUUGUAGUUUGCAGAAUGGAAAGAACCUUGCAGCGAAAAUUAUUUUCACUUCUACGUGAAAAUCUAACCAGAAAACUCACCUGUCAAUUACAAGAUACAGUAUGCCAUUCCAGCUUUGAUAAAUAUAAAGUAAUGGUUUGAAUUUGGAGAGCUUUAUUAUUAUAGACAGGGAUGAUGACCUGCAGUGAGACAGCAGUAGAAAGUUACUUAUAACUCAUCAUGGCCAUUAUGGAAGAUCUGAUUAAAAUUUGUUUAGAAAGCCACCAAAUAUGUCCAUGAAAAGUAGAAAAAAGACAGCAAUUCUACAUAAUGUACUAAGCAGAAGCAUUGACUGUUUCAAGACCAAAUGAAUU